Panthera leo (lion) is the source of this 107-nucleotide small nuclear RNA. Lineage: Eukaryota; Metazoa; Chordata; Mammalia; Carnivora; Felidae. The record is from Ensembl.
GUGCUCGCUUCAGCAGCACAUAUACUAAAAUUGGAACAAUACAGAGGACAUUAGCAUGGCCCCUGCACAAGGAUAACAUGCACAUUCAUGAAGUGUUCCAUAGUUUU